RNAcentral lists this ribosomal RNA (903 nucleotides) under uncultured bacterium. RNAcentral's name for it is "bacterial SSU rRNA". It matches the Rfam family "Bacterial small subunit ribosomal RNA", at positions 37 to 969 of the family's 1533-position model. The record is from RNAcentral.
ACGCAGAAUGCUUAACACAUGCAAGUCUACUUGAACUUCGGUUUGGGUGGCGGACGGGUGAGUAACGCGUAAAGAACUUGCCUCACAGUUAGGGACAACAUUUGGAAACGAAUGCUAAUACCUGAUAUUAUGAUUCUAGGGCAUCCUAAGAUUAUGAAAGUUAUAUGCGCUGUGAGAGAGCUUUGCGUCCCAUUAGCUAGUUGGAGAGGUAACGGCUCACCAAGGCGAUGAUGGGUAGCCGGCCUGAGAGGGUGAACGGCCACAAGGGGACUGAGACACGGCCCUUACUCCUACGGGAGGCAGCAGUGAGGAAUAUUGGACAAUGGACCAAAAGUCUGAUCCAGCAAUUCUGUGUGCACGAUGACGUUUUUCGGAAUGUAAAGUGCUUUCAGUUGGGAAGAAAAAAAUGACGGUACCAACAGAAGAAGUGACGGCUAAAUACGUGCCAGCAGCCGCGGUAAUACGUAUGUCACAAGCGUUAUCCGGAUUUAUUGGGCGUAAAGCGCGUCUAGGUGGUUAUGUAAGUCUGAUGUGAAAAUGCAGGGCUCAACUCUGCAUUGCGUUGGAAACUGCAUGACUAGAGUACUGGAGAGGUAAGCAGAACUACAAGUGUAGAGGUGAAAUUCGUAGAUAUUUGUAGGAAUGCCGAUGGGGAAGCCAGCUUACUGGACAGAUACUGACGCUAAAGCGCGAAAGCGUGGGUAGCAAACAGGAUUAGAUACCCUGGUAGUCCACGCUGUAAACGAUGAUUACUAGGUGUUGGGGGUCGAACCUCAGCGCCCAAGCUAACGCGAUAAGUAAUCCGCCUGGGGAGUACGUACGCAAGUAUGAAACUCAAAGGAAUUGACGGGGACCCGCACAAGCGGUGGAGCAUGUGGUUUAAUUCGACGCAACGCGAGGAAA